AAUUCGAUUUCACACUGGAACUGAGACACGGUCCAGACACCUACGGGUGGCAGCAGUCGAGAAUUUUUCUCAAUGGGGGCAACCCUGAAGGAGCGACGCCGCGUGGAGGAUGAAGGCUUUCGGGUUGUAAACUCCUGUCAUUUGAGAACAAGUGUAGCUAAGUAACUACUGGCUACUUGAUAGUAUCAGAAGAGGAAGAGACGGCUAACUCUGUGCCAGCAGCCGCGGUAAUACAGAGGUCUCAAGCGUUGUUCGGAUUCAUUGGGCGUAAAGGGUGCGUAGGUGGCGCCAUAAGUCGGGUGUGAAAUUUCGGAGCUUAACUCCGAAACUGCAUUCGAUACUGUGGUGCUUGAGGACUGGAGAGGAGACUGGAAUUCACGGUGUAGCAGUGAAAUGCGUAGAGAUCGUGAGGAAGACCAGUGGCGAAGGCGGGUCUCUGGACAGUUCCUGACACUGAGGCACGAAGGCCAGGGGAGCAAACGGGAUUAGAUACCCCGGUAGUCCUGGCAGUAAACGGUGCACGUUUGGUGUGGGGGGAUUCGACCCCUUCCGCGCCGGAGCUAACGCGUUAAACGUGCCGCCUGGGGAGUACGGUCGCAAGAUUAAAACUCAAAGGAAUUGACGGAA
This 627-nucleotide ribosomal RNA is filed under the name uncultured bacterium. RNAcentral's name for it is "bacterial SSU rRNA". It matches the Rfam family "Bacterial small subunit ribosomal RNA", at positions 297 to 918 of the family's 1533-position model. The record is from RNAcentral.